RNAcentral lists this ribosomal RNA (254 nucleotides) under uncultured bacterium. RNAcentral's name for it is "partial 16S ribosomal RNA". It matches the Rfam family "Bacterial small subunit ribosomal RNA", at positions 524 to 776 of the family's 1533-position model. The record is from RNAcentral.
UACGGAGGGUGCGAGCGUUGUUCGGAAUUACUGGGCGUAAAGGGCUCGUAGGCGGCCAACUAAGUCAGACGUGAAAUCCCUCGGCUUAACCGGGGAACUGCGUCUGAUACUGGAUGGCUUGAGUUUGGGAGAGGGAUGCGGAAUUCCAGGUGUAGCGGUGAAAUGCGUAGAUAUCUGGAGGAACACCGGUGGCGAAGGCGGCAUCCUGGACCAACACUGACGCUGAGUGAGCGAAAGCCAGGGGAGCAAACGGG